Molecule: ribosomal RNA, 253 nt
Filed under: uncultured bacterium
Lineage: Bacteria
Description: partial 16S ribosomal RNA
Rfam family: Bacterial small subunit ribosomal RNA
Source: RNAcentral
UACAGAGGUGGCAAGCGUUGUUCGGAAUUACUGGGCGUAAAGGGCUCGUAGGCGGCCAACUAAGUCAGACGUGAAAUCCCUCGGCUUAACCGGGGAACUGCGUCUGAUACUGGAUGGCUUGAGUUUGGGAGAGGGAUGCGGAAUUCCAGGUGUAGCGGUGAAAUGCGUAGAGAUCUGGAGGAACACCGAUGGCGAAGGCAGCCUUCUGGGCCAACACUGACGCUCAUGCACGAAAGCGUGGGGAGCAAACAGG